This is a long non-coding RNA of Mercurialis annua (annual mercury), 732 nucleotides long. RefSeq lists it as uncharacterized. The record is from RefSeq and is a predicted model, not a curated record. The transcript is spliced from 3 exons. NCBI's taxonomy places the organism in Eukaryota, Viridiplantae, Streptophyta, Magnoliopsida, Malpighiales, Euphorbiaceae.
ACCAAACUCAUUCCAUUCAAUCAAACAAACCCUAGCCGACUUCUUCACCUCAAAAGCAUUCUGAUAAUAUUCACCAUCCAUUCCUCUCGUGGCUUUGAAGUUUGGUAUGUUUCUCACGUUUCUUUUCCUUGUUUAUUCGAUAUCGUCACGUUCGGUUUCUUAGCUCAUUUUUUUUAUUUUAAGCGUUAGAUUUGGAUCCGUCUCGUCCUAGUUGUUGUAGACACACACCUCUACGAUUCUCAACUUCGUUUUAGUUAAACGACUUGUCGACUGUUCGUGCUACGUAGACGAAUCAGGAGUAGUUGCUUGCCAGUUAUCACGUGGAUUAGCAAGCAGGUUAUGAUUUGAGCGAGUCAGCUGGUCUCUGAUUCUUUAAUUCCUCAGAGGUUUAUUUUAUUUUAUUAAAACUAUUAAAUUGAUUUUAUUCUUAGACCGCAGUAGUAAUUAGAAGUUGUACUUGUCUAAUACUUGUUAUCAUAAUUAUUCAAUUGAUUAAUUGUUGUUUUGGCAUUAAUAUAAUAACUUGGGUUAUUAAAUAUUUAUGCUAUGUUGGAGACUCAGAAUUGAUCGAGCAUCUAGCAUCUAUUAUAUAAAUAUUGUACUUUAUGAACUGUUAGAACUAGGCUAAAGUCUCGGUUGCCCCCGAGCAUUGUUUUCUUGCAGGUUAUGUAUUUAUAGGGUUAACUGUAAGGCUAGCUACGGGUUUUGGUACAACCAUACCCAUACCCUAGC